AUCUAAAUAGCUUAAAAUUUUAAAGCAUAAUAUUGAAGAUAUUAAUAUAAGUGAAUACUUUUUAGAUA
This 68-nucleotide transfer RNA is filed under the name Tuxedo bicinctus. RNAcentral's name for it is "tRNA-Phe". Lineage: Eukaryota; Metazoa; Arthropoda; Insecta; Hemiptera; Miridae. The record is from RNAcentral.